This 73-nucleotide transfer RNA is filed under the name Dreissena polymorpha. RNAcentral's name for it is "tRNA-Ala". It matches the Rfam family "tRNA". From Rfam's summary of the family: Transfer RNA (tRNA) molecules are approximately 80 nucleotides in length. Their secondary structure includes four short double-helical elements and three loops (D, anti-codon, and T loops). Further hydrogen bonds mediate the characteristic L-shaped molecular structure. tRNAs have two regions of fundamental functional importance: the anti-codon, which is responsible for specific mRNA codon recognition, and the 3' end, to which the tRNAs corresponding amino acid is attached (by aminoacyl-tRNA synthetases). tRNAs cope with the degeneracy of the genetic code in two manners: having more than one tRNA (with a specific anti-codon) for a particular amino acid; and 'wobble' base-pairing, i.e. permitting non-standard base-pairing at the 3rd anti-codon position. The record is from RNAcentral. Lineage: Eukaryota; Metazoa; Mollusca; Bivalvia; Myida; Dreissenidae.
UGGGAAUUAGCUCAAGUGGUAGAGCGCUCACUUAGCAUGUGAGACGUACAGGGAUCGAUACCCUGAUUCUCCA